This 253-nucleotide ribosomal RNA is filed under the name uncultured bacterium. Its description in RNAcentral is "partial 16S ribosomal RNA". It matches the Rfam family "Bacterial small subunit ribosomal RNA", at positions 524 to 776 of the family's 1533-position model. The record is from RNAcentral.
UACGUAGGGUCCGAGCGUUGUCCGGAAUUACUGGGCGUAAAGGGCUCGUAGGUGGUUUGUCGCGUUGUUCGUGAAAACUCACAGCUUAACUGUGGGCGUGCGGGCGAUACGGGCAGACUGGAGUACUGCAGGGGAGACUGGAAUUCCUGGUGUAGCGGUGGAAUGCGCAGAUAUCAGGAGGAACACCGGUGGCGAAGGCGGGUCUCUGGGCAGUAACUGACGCUGAGGAGCGAAAGCGUGGGGAGCGAACAGG